GUGUCAGCCGCCGCGGUAAUACGAAGGGGGCUAGCGUUGCUCGGAAUCACUGGGCGUAAAGGGCGCGUAGGCGGCGUUUUAAGUCGGGGGUGAAAGCCUGUGGCUCAACCACAGAAUGGCCUUCGAUACUGGGACGCUUGAGUAUGGUAGAGGUUGGUGGAACUGCGAGUGUAGAGGUGAAAUUCGUAGAUAUUCGCAAGAACACCGGUGGCGAAGGCGGCCAACUGGACCAUUACUGACGCUGAGGCGCGAAAGCGUGGGGAGCAAACAGGAUUAGAUACCCCGGUAGUCC
Molecule: ribosomal RNA, 292 nt
Filed under: uncultured Methylobacterium sp.
Lineage: Bacteria; Pseudomonadati; Pseudomonadota; Alphaproteobacteria; Hyphomicrobiales; Methylobacteriaceae
Description: partial 16S ribosomal RNA
Rfam family: Bacterial small subunit ribosomal RNA
Source: RNAcentral